Molecule: ribosomal RNA, 496 nt
Filed under: uncultured bacterium
Lineage: Bacteria
Description: partial 16S ribosomal RNA
Rfam family: Bacterial small subunit ribosomal RNA
Source: RNAcentral
GAUGAACGCUGGCGGCGUGCCUAAUACAUGCAAGUCGAGCGAACAGACGAGGAGCUUGCUCCUCUGACGUUAGCGGCGGACGGGUGAGUAACACGUGGAUAACCUACCUAUAAGACUGGGAUAACUUCGGGAAACCGGAGCUAAUACCGGAUAAUAUAUUGAACCGCAUGGUUCAAUAGUGAAAGACGGUUUUGCUGUCACUUAUAGAUGGAUCCGCGCCGCAUUACCUAGUUGGUAAGGUAACGGCUUACCAAGGCAACGAUGCGUAGCCGACCUGAGAGGGUGAUCGGCCACACUGGAACUGAGACACGGUCCAGACUCCUACGGGAGGCAGCAGUAGGGAAUCUUCCGCAAUGGGCGAAAGCCUGACGGAGCAACGCCGCGUGAGUGAUGAAGGUCUUCGGAUCGUAAAACUCUGUUAUUAGGGAAGAACAAAUGUGUAAGUAACUAUGCACGUCUUGACGGUACCUAAUCAGAAAGCCACGGCUAACUACGU